CCAAGCGUUUCUUCAAAAUUCUGACCAAAAACCCUAAGUAAAUUAAACGAAAAUAUAAAAUGAAUUUUUCAAACAAAUAUUUUAAGUCGGUAUGAGAAAUUUUAAUUUAACAGAUGAAAUCAAAUAAACACAAUUCAACUCGUAAAAUAUUUAGACCCUUGCUUGGUAAUCCAGCUGAACAGGCACCCAGGAGAAGGGCAUGGCUCUAACCCUGAAUAAUGAGCAUUAGGUACAGAAAAUUAACAGUUCCCCAGGCAACCAUCCACUGAAAAUCUUAGAAGAAUAAUAGAGCCCCAAGGCAACCAUAAGAGUAAUUGUCGACAUUACCGCAGUUCAUCAGGUAACCGCAUAUUGUCUUAUUUGGACCUACCAUCUGACCCCUACUGAAGAAGAUCAUAAAUAACUCAAGACAGCACCUUAAGAAGCCUUCAGACCAUCAGCUAAGAUCCUUAAUAAAAUAUAUAGCUGGCCUGUAAACAUAAACAGACUAUUUUUAUAUAAAGUAACAUCAUAAAUUCUAAAAUGUAGAUCUUGAAUUGUGACCAUAAUAAAAUGAGAAAAUAAAGCAUUUAUACUGAA
Long non-coding RNA from Diabrotica virgifera virgifera (western corn rootworm), 579 nucleotides. RefSeq lists it as uncharacterized. The transcript has 2 exons. Lineage: Eukaryota; Metazoa; Arthropoda; Insecta; Coleoptera; Chrysomelidae. The record is from RefSeq and is a predicted model, not a curated record.